AUUGAACGCUGGCGGAAUGCUUUACACAUGCAAGUCGAGCGGCAGCGCGGGGCAACCUGGCGGCGAGCGGCGAACGGGUGAGUAAUGCAUCGGAACAUGUCCAUGUCGUGGGGGAUAGCCCGGCGAAAGCCGGAUUAAUACCGCAUACGCCCGAGAGGGGAAAGCAGGGGACCGCAAAGGCCUUGCGCGAUUGGGUUGGCCGAUGUCCGAUUAGCUUGUUGGUGAGGUAAAGGCUUACCAAGGCGAUGAUCGGUAGCUGGUCUGAGAGGAUGAUCAGCCACACUGGGACUGAGACACGGCCCAGACUCCUACGGGAGGCAGCAGUGGGGAAUUUUGGACAAUGGGGGCAACCCUGAUCCAGCCAUUCCGCGUGAGUGAAGAAGGCCUUCGG
RNAcentral lists this ribosomal RNA (391 nucleotides) under uncultured bacterium. RNAcentral's name for it is "bacterial SSU rRNA". It matches the Rfam family "Bacterial small subunit ribosomal RNA", at positions 29 to 421 of the family's 1533-position model. The record is from RNAcentral.